RNAcentral lists this ribosomal RNA (253 nucleotides) under uncultured bacterium. RNAcentral describes it as "partial 16S ribosomal RNA". It matches the Rfam family "Bacterial small subunit ribosomal RNA", at positions 524 to 776 of the family's 1533-position model. The record is from RNAcentral.
UACGUAGGGGGCAAGCGUUGUCCGGAAUUAUUGGGCGUAAAGAGCGUGUAGGCGGUCCGGUAAGUCAGCUGUGAAAGUCAAGGGCUCAACCCUUGAAAGCCGGUUGAUACUGUCGGGCUAGAGUCCGGAAGAGGCGAGUGGAACUCCUGGUGUAGCGGUGGAAUGCGCAGAUAUCAGGAAGAACACCGACGGCGAAGGCAGCUCGCUGGGACGGUACUGACGCUGAGGCGCGAAAGCGUGGGGAGCGAACAGG